GACGAACGCUGGCGGCGUGCUUAACACAUGCAAGUCGAGCGGAAAGGCCCUUCGGGGUCCUCGAGCGGCGAACGGGUGAGUAACACGGGAGUAACCUGCCCCAGACUUUGGGAUAACCCUCGGAAACGGGGGCUAAUACCGGAUACGACACAGCUUCGCAUGGGGUCUGUGUGGAAAGUUUUUCGGUUUGGGAUGGGCUCGCGGCCUAUCAGCUUGUUGGUGGGGUGAUGGCCUACCAAGGCGACGACGGGUAGCCGGCCUGAGAGGGCGACCGGCCACACUGGGACUGAGACACGGCCCAGACUCCUACGGGAGGCAGCAGUGGGGAAUAUUGCACAAUGGGCGGAAGCCUGAUGCAGCGACGCCGCGUGAGGGAUGACGGCCUUCGGGUUGUAAACCUCUUUCAGCAGGGACGAAGCGUAAGUGACGGUACCUGCAGAAGAAGCGCCGGCCAACUACGUG
Molecule: ribosomal RNA, 462 nt
Filed under: uncultured bacterium
Lineage: Bacteria
Description: partial 16S ribosomal RNA
Rfam family: Bacterial small subunit ribosomal RNA
Source: RNAcentral